Molecule: RNase P RNA, 383 nt
Filed under: Oharaeibacter diazotrophicus
Lineage: Bacteria; Pseudomonadati; Pseudomonadota; Alphaproteobacteria; Hyphomicrobiales; Pleomorphomonadaceae
Description: Bacterial RNase P class A
Rfam family: Bacterial RNase P class A
About the family: Ribonuclease P (RNase P) is a ubiquitous endoribonuclease, found in archaea, bacteria and eukarya as well as chloroplasts and mitochondria.
Source: Rfam by way of RNAcentral
CCAGCCGGUUGGACGGCCGCUCGGGCGAGACGCGAAAGCGUGCCCGGGAGGAAAGUCCGGGCUCCACGGAAACACGGUGCCGGGUAACGCCCGGCGGGGGCGACCCCAGGGAAAGUGCCACAGAAAACAGACCGCCCCGGCAUGCCGGGGUAAGGGUGAAACGGUGGGGUGAGAGCCCACCGCGGCUCCGGCAACGGAGACGGCACGGCAAACCCCACCGGGAGCAAGACCGAAUAGGGGCGGCGCGGGUCUCCGGACCCGGUUCGUUUCCGAGCCAGCCGCCCGGGUGGGUUGCGCGAGGCGUCCGGCAACGGACGUCCCAGAUGAAUGGUCGUCGGGCGGGAAACCGCUCACAGAACCCGGCUUACAGACCGGCUGGCACA